Molecule: long non-coding RNA, 1577 nt
Organism: Anas platyrhynchos (mallard)
Lineage: Eukaryota; Metazoa; Chordata; Aves; Anseriformes; Anatidae
Source: RefSeq, a predicted model, not a curated record
UGUGUCUACUGAAAACCCAAAUGUUAUGAUCUCUGUGUUAUAUGAGAUACUAUCCCUAAAGUAAAACUAGCUUUAGGGAAGUGGGGAUACUUGCUUUAAAUCAGUAGUACUUUUCACAUUGCCACUUUUAUAAUCUUACCUGUGGGGCAAUAUGGGCUUAUUUAUAUAGUUUUGCAGUGACAGGCUGAUUAACAGGAGCUUCUUCUUAAAAGUCCUUUUCUGUACAGUUUUUGUAUUUAACCUGUGCUGUAGAAACUUGAGCAUGCAGUUCACGGAGGUCUGCAUUGUUAGCCAAAAUGUUAGCAGUCAGUAUCUACUUGGAUAAAUAAUCUGCUGCGCAUAUUUUAACUUCAGGAAGCCAAAACUCCAGAUGGCUCCUCUGGCACCCAGGAUAUAUGGUGGCACCUGAAUGGACUCUCUUUUAGGGGGUAGGAGCAAAUUCCGUGGUACUGCUGGGACCUAUGAUACUGGUGAUGCUUUGAUCUCUCACUCUUCUUGUGUGUUAUGGCUGAGGCUUGACAAGCACGAAGUAGUUUCUCACAACAGUUAUAACUCAUUUUGUCAGCACAAGGAGCCCAGCACUCGGUAUCCUUCUUCCCUCCCUUGGCUGACUGCAUGCCUGGAAGCAGGAGCGCUUAAGUCAAAGUCUGAGGCAGACAACAUGGAAAAUCAAGAGGAAAAAGAAGUCAUGCUCAAGUUCUCGAGUUCAGCACUGACCUUCUGAGGGAUUGAACAUUCAUGGCAAUCUCUCACGUGAAAUGCGAAGCAGAAAUGUCUUCCUGCCAUUCAAAGAGUAGGAGGGAUUGCUUCCAUCCUUUCCCUUUCAUUCAGCAUUUAUUCUGAAACCUAAUGAUGGCAGCCGGGGAUGGGGGUUGAGUUCUUUUUCUGAAGCACCCUUUGGUAGAGCCUGUCAAUCCCAGUGAUCUGUUGAGGAUGCACAGAAAGUUUGUCUCACCAUCUUAGAGUUGUGAAUAUGAUGUUUUUAACAUUCAUCGUUGCCUGCUCUUCUCCUGGUUACUUUAGAGGAUGCAGCUAGGAAAAAAAAAGCUUUAUUUGUCCAACUGAAUUCUACAGAAUGCCUGUUAGAUCUUUCUGUGUCUGCUGUGGGGCUCCUGGCAUGUCUUGAGGGAGUUUUAGGUUUUAAGGAUGGGAAGGGUUGUUGCAAUCCUCUGGUCUGAUCUCCUGCAUAAUGCAACCCAUAAAAAAACACUGGAGCUCUUUUGUACCUGAUGCGUUUGGCUUAUUAAAACUCAUGUUCCAAAGAAUCCACUUGACCCAGUGAUGCGGAUCUGCCAGUAUAACUAUUUGUACCUCUAUUAUUUACCACUACAGUAUGUUUUUUCAAUCAGCUUUAAUGGAAACAAUUUUUUUUCUUUUAUUUUCUCCAGAUAAUUGCUAAGGUUAGUGAGCAGCACUGGGCUAAGACAAGUCUUCUGUGGGAUCCCAUUAGACAUCUUCCGAAGAUGGGGAUGAUUCAGUUAGGAUUGCCUUUUUGAGCUCUGUUGGCUCACCAUCUUUUAAUCGAUUUAGUAUGAGGUACAUUCGUUCUGGGUAGCGCUAAUUAUUUUAAUCAGAGU